This 66-nucleotide transfer RNA is filed under the name Bruchidius uberatus. Its description in RNAcentral is "tRNA-Val". The record is from RNAcentral. Lineage: Eukaryota; Metazoa; Arthropoda; Insecta; Coleoptera; Chrysomelidae.
UUACAUUAAAAUGAUAAUUGUGAAAUUCAAUUUAGUUUGAAAAUAAAAAUUUAUUAUUAAUUAAUU